Non-coding RNA from Pangasianodon gigas (Mekong giant catfish), 72 nucleotides. Lineage: Eukaryota; Metazoa; Chordata; Actinopteri; Siluriformes; Pangasiidae. The record is from the annotation of a GenBank genome assembly.
UCCGUGGAGGACUAGUGGUUAAGCCCCGGCACUCUCGCUGCCGUAGCACGGGUUCGAUUCCUGGCCAGGGAA